RNAcentral lists this ribosomal RNA (400 nucleotides) under uncultured bacterium. RNAcentral's name for it is "bacterial SSU rRNA". It matches the Rfam family "Bacterial small subunit ribosomal RNA", at positions 28 to 428 of the family's 1533-position model. The record is from RNAcentral.
GACGAACGCUGGCGGCGUGCUUAACACAUGCAAGUCGAGCGGUAAGGCCCUUUCGGGGGUACGACGAGCGGCGAACGGGUGAGUAACACGUGGGUGACCUGCCCUCAGCUCUGGGAUAAGCCUGGGAAACCGGGGUACUAAUACCGGAUAUGACUCCAUGACGCAUGUUGUGGGGUGGAAAGCCUUGUGCGGCUGAGGAUGGGCCCGCGGCCUAUCAGCUUGUUGGUGGGGUGAUGGCCUACCAAGGCGACGACGGGUAGCCGGCCUGAGAGGGCGACCGGCCACACUGGGACUGAGACACCGGCCCAGACUCCUACGGGAGGCAGCAGUGGGGAAUCUUGCGCAAUGGGCGAAAGCCUGACGCAGCGACGCCGCGUGAGGGAUGACGGCCUGGUUGUAA